Molecule: ribosomal RNA, 1496 nt
Filed under: uncultured bacterium
Lineage: Bacteria
Description: partial 16S ribosomal RNA
Rfam family: Bacterial small subunit ribosomal RNA
Source: RNAcentral
AGAGUUUGAUCCUGGCUCAGAUUGAACGCUGGCGGAAUGCUUUACACAUGCAAGUCGAACGGGCUUAAAGAGCUUGCUCUUUAAGUUAGUGGCGAACGGGUGAGUAAUAUAUCGGAACGUAUCCAAUAAUGGGGGAUAACUAAGCGAAAGCUUGGCUAAUACCGCAUACGCCCUACGGGGGAAAGCUAGGGAUCUUCGGACCUGGCGUUAAUGGAGCGGCCGAUAUCUGAUUAGCUAGUUGGGUGGGGUAAAGGCCCCACCAAGGCGACGAUCAGUAGCUGGUCCUGAGAGGGACGACCAGCCACCACUGGAACUGAAACACCGGUCCAGAAUCUCUACCGGGAGGGCAGCCGUGGGGGAAUUUUGGACAAUGGGGCGAAAGCCUGAUUCCAGCCAUUUCCCCGUGAGUGUAAGAAAGGCUUCCGGUUGUGAAAGCUCCUUUCCCCAAGGAAAAAAACUUUAUCUCUUACAUAAGACUGGGGGUGACAGGUACCCUUUGUAAGAAAGACCGGGUAAAUACAUGGCCGCAGCCGCGGGAAUACCUAGGGUGGGGAGCGGUAUCCGAAAUACUGGGGCGUAAACGCGCGCGCGCGGUUUUGUAAUCCAUAGAAAAUCCCUGAGCUCACCUUAUGAACUGCGUGUUGAGACUACACGACUCAAUAUGUCUAAGCGGUGGAAGUCUACUCUGUUCACUGAAUGCGUUAGAUGUGUGGAGUAUAAUGGCGAGGAGGCCCCGGCGUAUAUUUAGCUCAUGCCCAAGAAUUGGAACAACAGAUUAAUCCCUUGAUACUCCACGCCAAUAACGAUGUCAUAGUGGUGUGAAGUAAACUCCAUGAUUACCGCAGCUAACGCGUGAUGUAGCCGCUUGCGAUUCCGUCGCAGGAUUAGGACUCAAAUGAAUUGACGGGGCCCCGCAACAGCGUUGAUUUAUGUGGAUUAUUCGAUGCAACCGCGAAAACCUUACCUUGCCUUGACAUGUAACGAACCUUUCCAGAGAUGGAAUUGUUGCUCGAAAGAGACUGUUUAACACAGGUGCUGCAUGGCUGUCGUCAGCUCGUUGUCGUGAGAUGUUGGUUUAAGUCCCGCAACGAGCGCAACCCUUGCCAUUAAUUGCCAUCAUUUAGUUGGGCACUUUAAUGGGACUGCCGGUGACAAACCCGGAGGAAGGUGGGGAUGACGUCAAGUCCUCAUGGCCCUUAUGGCCAGGGCUUCACACGUAAUACAAUGGUCGGUACAGAGGGUUGCCAACCCGCGAGGGGGAGCCAAUCCCAGAAAGCCGAUCGUAGUCCGGAUUGUAGUCUGCAACUCGACUACAUGAAGUCGGAAUCGCUAGUAAUCGCGGAUCAGCAUGUCGCGGUGAAUACGUUCCCGGGCCUUGUACACACCGCCCGUCACACCAUGGGAGUGGGUUUUACCAGAAGUAGGUAGUCUAACCUUCGGGGGGACGCUUACCACGGUAGUAUUCAUGACUGGGGUGAAGUCGUAACAAGGUAACC